This 448-nucleotide ribosomal RNA is filed under the name uncultured prokaryote. Its description in RNAcentral is "bacterial SSU rRNA". It matches the Rfam family "Bacterial small subunit ribosomal RNA", at positions 355 to 796 of the family's 1533-position model. The record is from RNAcentral.
UCGGGAAUCUUGCACAAUGGGCGAAAGCCUGAUGCAGCAGCACCGUGUGAGCGAGGAAGGUCUUCGGAUCGUAAAGCUCUGUUGUUGGGGACGAAGGGCGAAGGGUUAAUAGCCCCUAGCCUGACGGUACCCUUCGAGGAAGCCCCGGCUAACUACGUGCCAGCAGCCGCGGUAAUACGGAGGGUGCGAGCGUUAUCCGGAAUCACUGGGCGUAAAGGGCACGUAGGCGGUUUGUUAAGUCCGAUGUUAAAGACCGAGGCUCAACCUCGAUACGGCGUUGGAUACUGAUAAGCUUGACUUCUGGAGAGGAAAGUAGAAUUACCAGUGUAGCGGUGAAAUGCGUAGAUACUGGUAGGAAUACCCAUUGCGAAGGCAGCUUUCUGGACAGAUAGUGACGCUGAGGUGCGAAAGUGUGGGGAGCAAACCGGAUUAGAUACCCCCGUAGUCC